Molecule: ribosomal RNA, 344 nt
Filed under: uncultured Pseudomonas sp. FR034
Lineage: Bacteria; Pseudomonadati; Pseudomonadota; Gammaproteobacteria; Pseudomonadales; Pseudomonadaceae
Description: bacterial SSU rRNA
Rfam family: Bacterial small subunit ribosomal RNA
Source: RNAcentral
UAGAGUUUGAUCCUGGCUCAGAUUGAACGCUGGCGGCAGGCCUAACACAUGCAAGUCGAGCGGAUGAGAGGAGCUUGCUCCUCGAUUCAGCGGCGGACGGGUGAGUAAUGCCUAGGAAUCUGCCUAGUAGUGGGGGACAACGUUUCGAAAGGAACGCUAAUACCGCAUACGUCCUACGGGAGAAAGUGGGGGAUCUUCGGACCUCACGCUAUUAGAUGAGCCUAGGUCGGAUUAGCUAGUUGGUAGGGUAAAAGCCUACCAAGGCGACGAUCCGUAACUGGUCUGAGAGGAUGAUCAGUCACACUGGAACUGAGACACGGUCCAGACUCCUACGGGACGCAGCA